GUGGAACCAACUAGACAUAAAGGCUGCAUCAGUGAUUCAUCCUGAGUAACCCGCACAGGGGUAGCAUGGCAGUCCACAAUCAUUCUCACCCUGUUCUGCUUAAACAAAAACCGUGAAGCUUGAGGAAUAUCUGUAGCAGGAUAAUGCAAACCGAUAUAGGGCUCUAAAUCUGAUCUUUUACUCUCAGCCACUACCUCUCCAUGUUCAUCCUCAUGAAAUUUAUAUACCAUAACCCUGUCAUACCCGG
This 247-nucleotide unclassified non-coding RNA is filed under the name Hevea brasiliensis (rubber tree). Lineage: Eukaryota; Viridiplantae; Streptophyta; Magnoliopsida; Malpighiales; Euphorbiaceae. The record is from RNAcentral.